Oncorhynchus tshawytscha (Chinook salmon) is the source of this 3003-nucleotide long non-coding RNA. RefSeq lists it as uncharacterized. Lineage: Eukaryota; Metazoa; Chordata; Actinopteri; Salmoniformes; Salmonidae. The record is from RefSeq and is a predicted model, not a curated record. The transcript has 3 exons.
CAAAAGUUUAUCUCAAUACUUUGUCAUUGCCAACAAAGGGUAUAUAACAGAGGUCAAAUGUUUUCUGUAAGUCUGAAGACAGAACCUCUACAGAUGGCAUCUAACAGCAUUGAAAAAAAUCAUAUUUCUCCACUCCUGUUACCAAGUCCAAAUUUAGCCUACAUUUGGUGUAUAAUUUUACUGCAAGAAAUGCUUAAUUCUGCAGGAAUUAUUAUUAAGGCUAUAGCCCUAUUCACACGGGACUAGUAUUAUUAGAGAACGUUGGUUAUGUAUUUAUUACCCCAGAAUGUCCAUUAUUUCAAAGGAUGAUUCAGACGGGAUUAAUUGACAGUUAUGACUGAUACCUGGAGGUUUUUUUCUAGGCAUGAAGACAUUUCAACAAGUCCAGGCUACACUGAUAAAACUCGAGCCUGGUUUCCAAGUUUGUAAACCAUACCAAACUGUCUUUGGUAUAGUGUUGCCACAAUAUUUGAAUUGAGGAAGUGUGAUCUGUGAAAGAAAAAUUACCUGAUUUGUUUGAUAUUAAUAGUUAACAAUGAAUACUUAACAAAUAGUAAGACAUUUCUGUUCUACUAAUGCUGUGUUUUUCUGGUCUCCACUCUAUCUCCCUGCAGCUAAUCUGGGCAUAUGGUUUUACUAUAGAUAGCUUGAGCUGACAAUUGAUUAAUAACUUGGUGAUAAAAACCUACAGCUGGUAUUCCAUAGAUAAGAUGUGGUGUGUGUGAUCCGAGAUAGAAAGAGCCUGGAGGAGUAGAACAAUCCCUUAUUGUGUCUAAUCAUUCUUGCAUCUGGGAAAUGUCCCUGGCUGCAGAUGAACACAGGAUGAACCCAGGAUGGAUUGUGGUGCCCCCCAAUCUGCAUGGGGGGGUGGAACCAGCCAUGACUAGGCAUGUUUGGGUCUCCUAUAGAAGAUCUCUGUUUUUGAUUAAAGGUUAAGCUCUCGGUAACACACACUUCGGAGUGUGUGGUCGACCAUCUUCAUUAUUGCAAUAAUUAAUCAUUAUUAAAUAAAGAUGAUCGUUUGACGAAAUGACAAAGUCUCUCUCAGUAUACAUUGAUUUCCAUGACAUAUCAUAAUCAUUAGGAUAGUUUAGCAAUCGGCAGUAGAAGACGUCCUAAAUGCUCCCCAGCCUUCAGAUGUGAGCUCAACAUCUAACGUGGACUUGAUGUGCGUUUUUAGGAAAUGGAUUAGAAGGUAAACUUGUUCCAAACGUUUAGCUCAGUUGUAUGCUGCUUUGUGAUCUAUUAACAGCAGGGGUUGCAUUAAAUAGGCACAGCAUUUUUUAUGAUACAUUUGGUGAUCAAUUCAUUCGCACAAAACAUAUAAACAAAAGCAUUCACUGUGGAAGUUGAUACACGUAGGCCCUUCAUAUAUAGGCUAUGUGCAGCAUUUUGGGCAAUUUAUUGAAUCCGUUGUUUUCUUGGUCAAACCGCAAGUAACACCUGACAAACUCAAACAUUUCUCUCAUGUCGAUUCACAUGGUACUAAUAUUAUCAGAGGACUUUGGAGUUUGCAAAAAAACAGUAGGUUAUUCUGGUUGGUCAAUGUCCAGAUUUCAGUUUCAUUUAACCCAUCUGAACAGCAGGCUACAGUUCCCUUGACAUGCCAUUGUAACGGUUGUUUGUGGUGGAAGAAGAGGAGGACCAAUGCGCAGCGUGAUAUAACCGCAGGGACUGUGGGUUCUAGGUCAACCCGCGCAUCACUUCCGGGGACCCCAGCCCAAAGUCUUUGUGGGAGAUGAGGCCUUUCCUCUCCGGAGAAACCUCAUGCGGCCCUUCCCUGGAGCAAUCAUCCCCAGGAGAAACACGGUCUUCAACUACCGCCUCGCCCGAACCAGGCUGACUGGAGUGCACCUCCGCCAUUCUUGCGUCCCACUGGCAGAUGUUCCGGUGAGUUAACAGGGUCCACCCUGCUAACGCAGAGGUGUGUGUGAAGGCUACCUGUGUCUUGUAUAACUUCAUGAGCAUGGACACAAGAACCAGGAGGGGAGCUGCAGCUCACCGCCGUGUCCCAGAGGAGAGGUCAACUGCUCUGCAGGAUGUUGCCAGGAUGGGGGCCAACAACGCAGCACUUGUCCGUGUGCUGGAGAUCUUCACUUUCUCCUUCUUCGAGGAGGGUGCUGUUCCCUGGCAACAUCUUGUGCCAUGUACUAUGUACAACCAAAGGCUCUUUUAAGAGCCACCCACAUUGCAGUAAAAUAUAUAUUUUCAUUCAAUGUCACCUGUAGUUAUUCUAUUCCCACUAUAUCUCCAUUUGAUUUAUAAUUCUCAGGUGAGGGUGCUGUUCAGGUCUGCACAAAACAAAAAUAGGCUAUUUUAAGACGUUCAGGUGUGUGGGCUGUAGAUCCUUCCACCUUCAAAGAAUAGGCUGUAGGACCACCACUGGGGAAUAAUAAGACACCAGUAUUUAUAUUUAUGUAACUAUGCUAUAUUGUUUGUCUUCCUGAGUCUGUGCAUAUUUUUCAGUAUAAAUUACUCUGCAAACACUCAGUGUGGACACUAGGUGAGGCCACGCACACACACACACAGAGAGAGAAAGAUUCCUGUUGAACACUGUCUCUACCGUAUUUUCUCAAUAAGUGUCUCCGUUCUUCACGUCAUCCCACACCCCCUUCUCCCUAAAUCCUCUAGGUUAUAUCAGCUGUGUCAGUGAACCCCUCCCACUUCUGAACUGCCUGAAACAGAUGCACAUCUUGAUCAGAGGUAUUGUCUGUGAGAGAGGAUGCCAAUCCCUAGUCCCGUCAUCGUCACCUCAUCCGCUCAAAGACAACCCAACUGGGGGCCCAAGGCUGGUUAGGAGACACCGGUAGAGAUACUAUUAUGUAACUGUGAUGACCUGAGAGAAUACGUAGUUUAGUUGCACUGUGAUUCAUGAAUCAUAAGCUUUCUUCCCUGCUCCUCUGUUCUGCUCUGUUCUGCUCUUUCCCUUUCUGUCUUUGACCCCCUCUCACACCUCUCCCCCACCUCCUACUUCUUCCCUGCUCCUCUGUUCUCAUCUUUCCC